Molecule: transfer RNA, 102 nt
Filed under: Pleurotus ostreatus PC15
Lineage: Eukaryota; Fungi; Basidiomycota; Agaricomycetes; Agaricales; Pleurotaceae
Rfam family: tRNA
About the family: Transfer RNA (tRNA) molecules are approximately 80 nucleotides in length.
Source: Rfam by way of RNAcentral
GGGCACUUAGCACAGGGGUAGCGCGUUCGCUUCGCACCGUCAUUUCGUCAUUUCGUCACUGUGUCAUGCGAGAGGUCGUGGGUUCAAAUCCCACAGUGUCCA